This is a non-coding RNA of Pelobates cultripes (western spadefoot toad), 490 nucleotides long. NCBI's taxonomy places the organism in Eukaryota, Metazoa, Chordata, Amphibia, Anura, Pelobatidae. The record is from the annotation of a GenBank genome assembly.
GGCUCCGUUUGUGCAGUUGGGACUAUAUGGUUCAUUUACCGAACACCCGCACGAACAGAGACCACCAUGGAGCUUGUUAACACUCAUUAACAACUUGGAACGUUUCUCACCGCAGUGUUCUAAUUGUUCGUCUGGGUGGCCGCAAUUCUUAUGAACAACCUUGAGGUGGCGGCCAUCUUGUUCGCAUGAAUGCAGGCAGCGGUGUUUGAGCAUGAAUCUCCUAGAACUAAAGUCAGAUACAGAAACUCCCGAACAUCGCUGGACUUCCAUCAUCGCCUGUGUUCGUUUCUUUUCAGCUUAGAAGGGCACUGUUUGGUGAGAUCAUUCGUCUGGAUAAAGGGAACAAGCUCCAGGGUAAGACUAUUGACUCCGUUCAGAAGUUUGUUCGUUUGCAAACUACCGAACUAGACCGGCCUCAAGCCCUGAUUCUCUAGAACUGUUUUGGGCAUGAAAUCAUGCGUGUGGUCAAAAUAAACUUCCAGGAAUUUCC